RNAcentral lists this ribosomal RNA (460 nucleotides) under uncultured bacterium. RNAcentral's name for it is "partial 16S ribosomal RNA". It matches the Rfam family "Bacterial small subunit ribosomal RNA", at positions 338 to 795 of the family's 1533-position model. The record is from RNAcentral.
CCUACGGGUGGCAGCAGUGAGGAAUAUUGGUCAAUGGGCGCGAGUCUGAACCAGCCAAGUAGCGUGAAGGAUGACUGCCCUAUGGGUUGUAAACUUCUUUUAUAAAGGAAUAAAGUGCGGCACGUGUGCCCUUUUGCAUGUACCUUAUGAAUAAGGAUCGGCUAACUCCGUGCCAGCAGCCGCGGUAAUACGGAGGAUCCGAGCGUUAUCCGGAUUUAUUGGGUUUAAAGGGAGCGUAGUUGGGUUGUUAAGUCAGUUGUGAAAGUUUGCGGCUCAACCGUAGAAUUGCAUUUGAUACUGGCAGUCUUGAGUACAGUUGAGGUAGGCGGAAUGCGUGGUGUAGCGGUGAAAUGCUUAGAUAUCACGAAGAACUCCGAUUGCGAAGGCAGCUUACUAGACUGCAACUGACGUUGAUGCUCGAAAGUGUGGGUAUCAAACAGGAUUAGAUACCCGUGUAGUC